ACCCCAGCACGGAGCAGAGGCAAUUACCCUCCGCACGCAGAGACCGUGGAGCUGAAUCGUGCUGAAUAGAGAACCCCUCCAGCUGGCAGAACCAUGUGUGGCUGGGAAGAGCAGCCACUUUCGCUCCGCUGAGAAGCAAUGCAAACACACCGGUGACAAGAACUGCUUCCAGGUCUGGAUGGACAUGAACCUGAGUGGAGCCUGAAUGCAGCUGAAACCACACUGACUAACAAAACUUUUAAAAUAUGACUACAGUAAGGAUUUUAACUCCACAAUGCUGCCAUGCCGGAAUGUGACAGGCUUUCUACCCAGGUCUGGAAGGUGGUUGAUGAUGUUAGCAGCAAAUAUAAACCCA
This 355-nucleotide long non-coding RNA is filed under the name Cairina moschata (Muscovy duck). RNAcentral's name for it is "domestica (muscovy Duck (domestic type)) lncRNA (ENSCMMG00000005322.1)". The record is from RNAcentral. Lineage: Eukaryota; Metazoa; Chordata; Aves; Anseriformes; Anatidae.